This 552-nucleotide long non-coding RNA is filed under the name Bos taurus (domestic cattle). RNAcentral's name for it is "long non-coding RNA NONBTAT000842". Lineage: Eukaryota; Metazoa; Chordata; Mammalia; Artiodactyla; Bovidae. The record is from RNAcentral.
UACAUACACUUAAAAUUAUAUGUAGAAAUGAAUAUUAGUAUUAAUAGGUAGGCAGGCUGAAAUAUCCAACUAACCACCAUGCUGUUGUGUAAAACAAAUAAUAUAUUAAAAUUGAAAGGGAAAAAUCACUUAGAAGUUGGAGAAAAGAAGCUGGUUUAGAUAGCUAAAAUAAAGUUCUGAGCUUUUAAAAUGUAUUUAUAAUUUAUGAACAUUUAUCCAGAGAAAAACAUUGCUUUAAAAUCUUCUUCGACAAUCCUCUUUGUAACUGAACAAGGUUAAAUGGCUGCUUCUGUUUUAAAAGUAAGCUCCUAAUUUUUUCCUCAAGGGAAAUAUUAGUUUAAUUAUAAGAUUCCAACAUGAGAGCUAUGGGUUACAAGAAACACAUGUGCUGGGUCACCUCAGUGACUGUCACACUCUUAAAGGUAUUGAAGUACAAUAUCAUAAUCACAGAAUAAGAGGAGAGAUAUCAGAUCUUCUUUUGAUUUUAUGAAAGUGAAAGUCAAAUAAAAAUGCAAAUAAUAAAAAUAUUCCAUAUACGCUAGCUAUUAUUAU